ACACGUAGGGCGCAAGCGUUGUCCGGAUUUAUUGGGCGUAAAGGGCUCGUAGGCGGUUUCGUAAGUCGGGUGUGAAAACUCAGGGCUCAACCCUGAGACGCCACUCGAUACUGCGAUGACUUGAGUUCGGUAGGGGAGCAGGGAAUUCCUGGUGUAGCGGUGAAAUGCGCAGAUAUCAGGAGGAACACCAUUAGCGAAGGCGCUGCUCUGGGCCGGUACUGACGCUGAGGAGCGAAAGCAUGGGGAGCAAACAGGAUUAGAUACCCCUGUAGUCC
Molecule: ribosomal RNA, 275 nt
Filed under: uncultured bacterium
Lineage: Bacteria
Description: partial 16S ribosomal RNA
Rfam family: Bacterial small subunit ribosomal RNA
Source: RNAcentral